UGCUAAAGGUUCCUCAGCAUGUUUCACUUUACAGCUUAGAUCACAUGGCCUCAAGCAUCUGCUGCAAAGAUCACAUGACCCCGAGCACUGACAGCUGAGGUCACAUGACACUUCUCUCCUGACAGCCGAGGUCAUACAGCUCCCAGACCCUAAUUGCUGCUGCAGAGGUCACGUGACCCCGGGCUGUUCCUCACCUUGAUGCCCUCCAGCCGGGGCAGGUAGCUGUAGGGCCCGCUCCCGUCCUCCCUCCUGAGAAAAUCACCUUACCCAUCUGAAUGGACAGAUGAAGUAGAUCUGAACAUUAAGAUCCAGUAAUCCGUAAUUCACUCCAUCCAUGGUACAGCAACAGUCCAUUCAAAAAAUUGAACUACUUUUCCAACACUUGCCAUCCGGAACAAAGGGAAAGAAGAUAAAGAAAAACAAAAAACUGAAGCUCGACCCUUCUACUGCCCAAGCAAUUCUCAGCAGG
This is a long non-coding RNA of Hyla sarda, 469 nucleotides long. RefSeq lists it as uncharacterized. NCBI's taxonomy places the organism in Eukaryota, Metazoa, Chordata, Amphibia, Anura, Hylidae. The record is from RefSeq and is a predicted model, not a curated record. The transcript has 3 exons.